AGAGUUUGAUCAUGGCUCAGGAUGAACGCUAGCUACAGGCUUAACACAUGCAAGUCGAGGGGAAACGACAUCGAAAGCUUGCUUUUGAUGGGCGUCGACCGGCGCACGGGUGAGUAACGCGUAUCCAACCUGCCCACCACUUGGGGAUAACCUUGCGAAAGUAAGACUAAUACCCAAUGACGUCUCUAGAAGACAUCUGAAAGAGAUUAAAGAUUUAUCGGUGAUGGAUGGGGAUGCGUCUGAUUAGCUUGUUGGCGGGGUAACGGCCACAAGGCGACGAUCAGUAGGGGUUCUGAGAGGAAGGUCCCCCANAUUGGAACUGAGACACGGUCCAAACGUCCUACGGAGGCA
Molecule: ribosomal RNA, 351 nt
Filed under: uncultured bacterium
Lineage: Bacteria
Description: bacterial SSU rRNA
Rfam family: Bacterial small subunit ribosomal RNA
Source: RNAcentral